Molecule: ribosomal RNA, 112 nt
Filed under: Jaculus jaculus (lesser Egyptian jerboa)
Lineage: Eukaryota; Metazoa; Chordata; Mammalia; Rodentia; Dipodidae
Source: RNAcentral
AUCUAUGGCCAUACCAUCAAGAAUGCACUUGAUGUCAUCUGAUCUUGGAAGCUAAGCUGGGUCAGACCUGGUUAGUGCUUGGAUGGGAGAACGAAGUGACUUGCCAAAGAUC